GCCACGGUGGUCUAGCGGUUAGAACGCUGGCCUUGUAAUCCUGGGGUCUCGGGUUCGAUUCCCGGCAGUGCCC
Molecule: non-coding RNA, 73 nt
Organism: Zootermopsis nevadensis
Lineage: Eukaryota; Metazoa; Arthropoda; Insecta; Blattodea; Termopsidae
Source: Rfam